This 254-nucleotide unclassified non-coding RNA is filed under the name uncultured Gemmatimonadota bacterium. RNAcentral's name for it is "uncultured Gemmatimonadetes bacterium contains 16S-23S intergenic spacer region". It matches the Rfam family "Bacterial small subunit ribosomal RNA", at positions 524 to 776 of the family's 1533-position model. Lineage: Bacteria; Pseudomonadati; Gemmatimonadota. The record is from RNAcentral.
GACGGAGGGCGCAAGCGUUGUUCGGAAUUACUGGGCGUAAAGCGCGCGCAGGCGGAUGCCGCAAGUCGGGAGUGAAAGACCGGGGCUCAACCCCGGACCCGCUUCCGAUACUGCGGAUCUAGGGACCGGUAGAGGCCGGUGGAAUUCCCGGUGUAGCGGUGGAAUGCGUAGAUAUCGGGAAGAACACCCGUGGCGAAGGCGGCCGGCUGGGCCGGAUCCGACGCUGAGGCGCGAAAGCGUGGGGAGCAAACAGG